RNAcentral lists this ribosomal RNA (198 nucleotides) under uncultured bacterium. Its description in RNAcentral is "partial 16S ribosomal RNA". It matches the Rfam family "Bacterial small subunit ribosomal RNA", at positions 328 to 539 of the family's 1533-position model. The record is from RNAcentral.
ACGCUCGACACCUACGGGAGGCAGCAGUGGGGAAUAUUGCACAAUGGAGGAAACUCUGAUGCAGCGAUGCCGCGUGAGGGAAGAAGGUUUUCGGAUUGUAAACCUCUGUCUUUGGGGACGAUAAUGACGGUACCCAAGGAGGAAGCUCCGGCUAACUACGUGCCAACAGCCGCGGUAAUCUGAGCGGGCUGGCAAGGC